This 74-nucleotide transfer RNA is filed under the name SAR324 cluster bacterium. RNAcentral's name for it is "tRNA-Arg". It matches the Rfam family "tRNA". Rfam says of the family: Transfer RNA (tRNA) molecules are approximately 80 nucleotides in length. Their secondary structure includes four short double-helical elements and three loops (D, anti-codon, and T loops). Lineage: Bacteria; Deltaproteobacteria. RNAcentral also lists the same sequence under 1 other name. The record is from RNAcentral.
GCGCCCGUAGCUCAGCUGGAUAGAGCACUGGCCUUCGAAGCCAGGUGUCCCAGGUUCGAGUCCUGGCGGGCGCG